UGAAAAUGCCAUCAAACUCCCGAUUCAACUGUCAUUUUGGUUUGAAAAACGAUGGUGAGUAAUUUAAAACUACAUUGGUUUAUGUUUGGGUAAAAUACUGGCCCAGUUCCUACCACUGGUUUCAUUUGAUGAACUUCAUAACAAAGGAGACAUUUACACUUAUAACCAAAUUCGAAUAUGCUAUCGCCACUUUGAAGAAUGUUAUUGUUCAUAAAGCCACAGACUCACAGCUAAUGCAGUUCCAACACUAAAUAUUGGU
Molecule: long non-coding RNA, 259 nt
Organism: Vanessa tameamea
Lineage: Eukaryota; Metazoa; Arthropoda; Insecta; Lepidoptera; Nymphalidae
Exons: 3
Source: RefSeq, a predicted model, not a curated record